Molecule: ribosomal RNA, 252 nt
Filed under: uncultured Pseudomonas sp.
Lineage: Bacteria; Pseudomonadati; Pseudomonadota; Gammaproteobacteria; Pseudomonadales; Pseudomonadaceae
Description: partial 16S ribosomal RNA
Rfam family: Bacterial small subunit ribosomal RNA
Source: RNAcentral
UGGGCACUCUAAGGAGACUGCCGGUGACAAACCGGAGGAAGGUGGGGAGUGACGUCAAGUCAUCAUGGCCCUUACGGCCUGGGCUACACACGUGCUACAAUGGUCGGUACAAAGGGUUGCCAAGCCGCGAGGUGGAGCUAAUCCCAUAAAACCGAUCGUAGUCCGGAUCGCAGUCUGCAACUCGACUGCGUGAAGUCGGAAUCGCUAGUAAUCGUGAAUCAGAAUGUCACGGUGAAUACGUUCCCGGGCCUU